RNAcentral lists this ribosomal RNA (274 nucleotides) under uncultured bacterium. RNAcentral's name for it is "partial 16S ribosomal RNA". It matches the Rfam family "Bacterial small subunit ribosomal RNA", at positions 523 to 796 of the family's 1533-position model. The record is from RNAcentral.
AUACGGAGGGUGCAAGCGUUAUUCGGAAUUACUGGGCGUAAAGGGCGCGUAGGCGGCGCAUUAAGUCAGUUGUGAAAGCCCGGGGCUCAACCCCGGAAGUGCAAUUGAAACUGGUGUGCUUGAGUAUGGUAGAGGGAAGUGGAAUUCCUGGUGUAGCGGUGAAAUGCGUAGAUAUCAGGAGGAACACCCGUGGCGAAGGCGACUUCCUGGACCAAUACUGACACUGAGGCGCGAAGGCGUGGGGAGCAAACAGGAUUAGAAACCCCAGUAGUCC